This 432-nucleotide small RNA is filed under the name Pan troglodytes (chimpanzee). RNAcentral describes it as "processed transcript". Lineage: Eukaryota; Metazoa; Chordata; Mammalia; Primates; Hominidae. The record is from RNAcentral.
GUUGGUGUCAGACACAUGUGGAAAAGAAAAGAACAGGCCCAUAAUUUUGGCUCAGUACCCAGGGCCAGAUGUUAAAGGUCCCCAGUCUAUGUGAGGAUCUCCUGUCUUCUGUCGACCAGCCACUAAAAAUUGCCAGAGACAAGGUGGUGGGAAAGGAUUACCUUUUGUGUGACUACAACAGAGAUGGGGACUCCUAUAGGUCACCAUGGAGUAACAAGUAUGACCCUCCCUUGGAGGAUGGGGCCAUGCCGUCGGCUCGGCUGAGAAAGCUGGAGGUGGAAGCCAACAAUGCCUUUGACCAGUAUCGAGACCUGUAUUUUGAAGGCGGCGUCUCAUCUGUCUACCUCUGGGAUCUGGAUCAUGGCUUUGCUGGAGUGAUCCUCAUAAAGAAGGCUGGAGAUGGAUCAAAGAAGAUCAAAGGCUGCUGGGAUU